Molecule: ribosomal RNA, 253 nt
Filed under: uncultured bacterium
Lineage: Bacteria
Description: partial 16S ribosomal RNA
Rfam family: Bacterial small subunit ribosomal RNA
Source: RNAcentral
UACGAAGGGGGCGAGCGUUGUUCGGAUUUACUGGGCGUAAAGGGCGCGCAGGCGGCGGAUCAAGUCAGGCGUGAAAGCCCCGGGCUUAACCUGGGAGGUGCGUCUGGGACUGAUUUGCUAGAGUUCGGGAGAGGAGCGUGGAAUUCCCAGUGUAGAGGUGAAAUUCGUAGAUAUGACAUAGAACAUCGAUUGCGAAGGCAGCUCGCUACACUAUGAUUGACACUGAGGCACGAAAGCGUGGGGAUCAAACAGG